Molecule: long non-coding RNA, 364 nt
Organism: Rosa chinensis
Lineage: Eukaryota; Viridiplantae; Streptophyta; Magnoliopsida; Rosales; Rosaceae
Exons: 2
Source: RefSeq, a predicted model, not a curated record
UUUCCGGACCACCUUUGCGAUGGAAUGAUUUUUAAUCACAGCUUUGCCAUGGAAUGAUUUUUAAUCACAAGCCACCUGGAUGUGUUGAUUGCUCGCACAUGCAGUGAAAAAUUCUAUGCAAACUCUGAAGGCAAGUGAUUGGCAUCUUGAAGGAGCUAGGAGCAUUUCAUAUAUUCUACAGCCAAGCCACGGCAGGAGAAGAAAAAAACAAAUGUUCAAGCUCUAGAGUACAUUGCAAAUUAUUUUGCUAUUCAGCUUCAAUAGUACUACUUAGGUCUCAUGGAACAAUUAAUGACUAUUGUAGAUGUAUUUUAAUGGCUGUAAUGACAUUGGAUUUCCAGAAUGAAUGAGAACAUCAAUGAAU